RNAcentral lists this long non-coding RNA (39967 nucleotides) under Setaria italica (foxtail millet). RNAcentral's name for it is "long non-coding RNA (SITA_LNC004373)". The record is from RNAcentral. Lineage: Eukaryota; Viridiplantae; Streptophyta; Magnoliopsida; Poales; Poaceae.
CCGCCUCCAGACGCGCCUCCUUCGCCACCCGUCCGCGCCGCCCCUCCGGUCCGCUCCUCCUCGCCCUGCAUCGCCUCCUGCGCGCCGCCGCCUCCAUCUGGCACGACGCGCUGCCUCCGUCUAGCACGACGCGCCGCCUCCAGCGCGCCGCCGCCUCACCACCGCUCGCUCCACCGGCCGCGCCACUGCCUCACUGGCCCUCCCGCCUUGGACACCUGAGCUGCCACCGAGCCGCGCCUCUCCGCCGUGGGCGAUUGCCCGCUAUCCCGCCGCCGUCUUCCAUCGACGCCCCGCCACCGCUCUCAGUCACCAUCGCCGCCAAAGGUAUUGCAAUAUGGUCAUUCUCUGCUUAUUUUGUUCCUGAUAUCUGGCAUUCAUUGUUGGUAAUAAUGUGUUGUAUCUCUACUCCUAAAAAAAGCAAAACCAAGACAUUUUUUUCGUACGUCGGGUCCUCCGUCAACCCUUCGUCCCGCGCUUCGUUGUUUUUCUGCCGUCCGCGAUUGAAUCGCAAAUCUGAGCCCUUCCUCUCGCUCCUGUCGCCUCCGUCCCCGAGCCCUUCCGUCGCCUCCCACAUCCGCCACCCCCUGAGUGCCAUCCGGUCCCGCGGCAUCCUACGCCUCCUGCCCCAGCGCCGCCGCCGAACGCACCUCCUUCGCCGCCCCUUCCGCGCCGCCCCUCCAAUCCACUCCUCCUCGCCCUGCAUCGCCUCUUGCGCACCGCCGACUCCGGAUGCGCCUCCUUCGCUGCCCUUCCGCGCCGCCCCUCCGGUCCGAUCCUCCUCGCCCUGCACCGCCUCCUGCGCGUCGCCGACUCCGGAUGCGCCUCCUUCGCUGCCCUUCCGCGCCGCCCCUCCGGUCCGCUCCUCCUCGCCCUGCACCGCCUCCUGCGCGUCGCCGACUCCGGAUGCGCCUCCUUCGCUGCCCUUCCGCGCCGCCCCUCCGGUCCGCUCCUCCUCGCCCUGCACCGCCUCCUGCGCGCCGCCGACUCCGGAUGCGCCUCCUUCGCUGCCCUUCCGCGCCGCCCCUCCGGUCCGAUCCUCCUCGCCCUGCACCGCCUCCUGCGCGUCGCCGACUCCGGAUGCGCCUCCUUCGCUGCCCUUCCGCGCCGCCCCUCCGGUCCGCUCCUCCUCGCCCUGCACCGCCUCCUGCGCGUCGCCGACUCCGGAUGCGCCUCCUCGCCCUGCGUCGCCUCCUGCGCGCCGCCGCCUCCAUCUGGCACGACGCGCCGCCUCUAGCGCGCCGCCGCCUCACCACCGCUCGCUCCACCGGCCGCGCCACUGCCUCACUGGCCCUCCCGCCUUGGACACCUGAGCUGCCACCGAGCUGCACCUCUCCGCCGUGGGCGAUUGCCCACUAUCCCGCCGCCGUCUUCCAUCGACGCCCCGCCACCGCUCUCAGUCGCCAUCGCCGCCAAAGGUAUUGCAAUAUGGUCAUUCUCUGCUUAUUUUGUUCCUGAUAUCUGGCAUUCAUUGUUGGUAAUAAUGUGUUGUAGAAACACAUUUACAACCAUACAUCCAGACUCACACAAACUCAACCCUAACACCCCGACAAUUUAGGAUGAAAUUUCAACCUGAAUACUGUUAAAAUUUUGCAGGCCAGAUUAUGAAGCUGGACUGCAGGACUUCAAGGAACGCUUGACGAAUUAUGAGAAGGUUUCAACCAUUUAUGCUCUGUUGAAGUGCUGCCUAAGUAGAAUUCUUGAGUUCUAUGAACUAUUUGGUCUUAAAUGAAGUAGCAUUCCUUUUGUAGGUCUAUGAGCCAGUGGGGGAAGGUUCUUACAUCAAAAUGAUUGACAUGGUAAAGGGGCAGGGUGGUCAGUUACAGGUAAGCUCUUCCAUACCUUUGCAUAUUGUACAAAACAUGACUCAACAUUAGGAAUUUUGCAUCCCUAGGUGGCAGAAGGAUCAAUGGUAUGGGUACAACUUUUAUGUAAUUGAAUAUCUCUCGAAACACUUGAACAUGCAUGUUAUGUAAAAUGAGGACUUGUUUAGAUAAGUUAUUUGCACAAAACAUGUCAAUUUUUGCAUAGUACCAAUUGAUGCUUUCAGAUAAUACAGUCCUACAACAGUAGUUUGUUGUGGCAUCCAUGUCAAAUGUGGAGUUCUAAAACUGUGAAGAGGGAAAAUAAUUCUCUUGUGUGCCUGUCUCCCAUGUCAUUUUGCUAGACAUCCAAGGAGUAAUUUAUUCUUCUGUAUUUCUUGUAUCCAUUUUACCAUAUGCCCCACUUUUUUAUGAUUCUAUUAAUCUAUUUCAGAUAUGGGUAUACGGGAAUAGUUUUGAAUCUUUUCUUGUUGCCGUUAUCAAUCCGAACCAACAAGUGCUUGAGCAUUGGGCUGAACAAAACGGUAGUACCGUCAGCUAACUCACAAAGAUCGGGAAGGAAAAGAAGGUAAAGUACCCUAAUUACACUAUUGUUUGAUGCAUCUCGAUUCCUAUUAUGCAAAUAGUAAUUUAAACAAUUUUUGUGUAAUCUUUGCCUUGCCAGCUGAAAGGCUUUGAGUUGAUAAAAGCUAUACAUCUCGAUCCUUUACCGUUUGAUAUCGAGCGUGACCUCAUCACCCCAACAUACAAGAAGAAACGACCACAGAUGCUCAAGUACUACCAGGUUCUUUUCUUUUCUUUUCUUCCUAUCUUGGUUGUAUGUGAUCGGUACAGAGAAAAGCUCGAGACAGCACGAUGAGAAGAAAGGUAAGCUAGGGCUGCUCAUGGAGAUAAGAAGAAUGAUUUAAAAGUCUAUGUGAUAGGAAAAAUGCACCAAGCAAAUUCGUUUGAAGAAAUUGAUAAGUUGGUAAGAAUUCUAACUUUGUUAGCAUCCUUUUAAUAUUGCACUAUGGUCCUCAUGAAGCACCGUGCCGUCACCGCUGGUGGGGGCAACUCAGAGACCAUGCUACUGCUUGGGCCAUGUGGUAGAGAAGAUCGGCGUGACCUCCGCGGCCAAAGGAGCGGAAUGCGAGUGGCCGAAUAAUUUGUAAGAAGAUGGGUAGAGUUAUAAUGGUGAAAAGAUUGAUUACAAUUUCUUUUGACUCAUUAGAUUGCCACAGGAGCAUGUGCAUAUUUUAGGUGGUGUGAGAGGUAGCAUGCUUAGAAUGUGUUUGUUAUUUAAGGUGGCAUGAGAUGUAAUCAAGAUUUAGCAGGUACUUUUGGCUUUGAUGACACCUAAAUUUCUUAAUUAUAUUUUAACCUCAUAUUUUUUCUAUAUGUCAUAUUGUUUUUUUUUUUUUGUAUUCUUCUACUGAUAAAUAAAGUUAAAUUUUCAAGUAAAGAUUAGAAGACAGGAAAUUAAUAUGUUCCCCCCCAAGAGUUUUAGGUCAGAGGUGGCAGUGUAAUAGUUCAAUUUUUCAGUUACAUUGAUCUACUUAAACUAAUAUAUAAUUUUGGCUUAUUUUGAUGAUUGUGCAUUUCAGGCAGCUCUGGUGAUCGGAGAUGGCUCCAUUAGCAGCAACAGCAGGAGGAGGAUGUCAUCUCUUUAAUUCAUUAUAUGCUUACCAUUUUCUUUCAACCUUAAUAUAUAUAGCAAUCUGCCCAGAACAACUGCUACAAAUCCCAUGCCUAAUUGAAAAUUGUGACUUUCUGGAGAUUGAGGGAAUAGAUCAAUGCCAUUGUAAUUAAUCUUGUCCUUUGCUUCAUUUUUUUCUGAUCAUGUUGUGGUAGGUGAGCGGCGCUUACGCCGUGCUCCCUUGACAAGCUCGCCGCCAUUGCAAAGCUCUUGGAGGGCCAAGAGAUCCCCGAGGCCAAGACUGGCUCUCGGCCGGCCUCUCCGCCUUCCCUUACCUCUACACCUCCAUUUUGAGGGUUGGUUUUUUCUGUACAUAUCAAUCUUGCAAGGAAAAAGUUCUAGAAGAGUAAGUAUUUUUGUUAUAUUACAUGAAUCUUGGGCCUAAGAACAGAACUAUCGUUAUCUUAAUCUGCAACUGAUCCUUAUUUUUUUUCUAUGAUUCAAAGGCAGCACUGGGUGGAUGUGCAACUAUUGUUUAUGUUUUAUUGGGACUAAAAGGCAGGAUUGUUGUUGGAUGUAAGUUAUGGGUUCUCUUUUAUUUGCAAACAUCGUAUUAUUGCUGCUUAAAUACUGCUUAUGAUCAUUAAAUACCGCCAAGUAUUAACAUACUCUACUAUCACGCUGUCGUUAUAUUCAUACAAGCAAAUGGCAUUUUAUGCAUCUUGCACUGAAUUUUUUUAUUUCACUAUGCUAAAAUUCACUGACUAACUUUAUAGUUUUAUUUUGCUGUAUACUUAUUUUCCUUGUACAGUUGUAUGUGCUCGAAUCUUUGCCCUUUGUAGAAUAUAAAAACAUUUGAAAUUGUUUGCUCUAUACUUUUACGGACUUGAGAAAUAUGUUAUGAUAAAGCUAUAUAAUCGGGUAUUUGCUUUGGUCCCUGAAGAUGUGAAGAGUGAUGAAGAGCUUUUUGAGAAAAUAUCUUUGCUACAGCAGUUUAUAAGGCCCAAAACCUUGGUUAUAAAACCAGAGUAUCAGAAUGAAACUUCUUGGCUGGUAUGAAACUUAAGUUGUCUUGUUAUUGUGAUUUUUUAUAUCGCUGGAUGUCUUGCACCACUUCUGUUACAUGGCCACUGUAACAUUUCUGCCAUUCAAUUCCCUGUUGCUUUCAGACACCCUCUCAAGGAGUAGUUGAUGACCCUUUUUUUAAAUGAGCAUGAACUUGUGUGAUUCAUUGUCAGCAAGUCUACCAAUCUUUAAAUUAGAGCCAACAAAUGUAUUCUGCUGCCUACUGGCUAAGCCAUUUGUUUAAAUAGACCUUAUGACAGCUGUUCAUUCUUCAUAUCAGUGUAAUUCAUUAAUAUUCCUUACUUUCCUUUCCUUUUUGUUUAUUUAUUUUCUUGUUUUUGUGGUACAGCUCGUGCAGAAGGAGCUGCAGAAGAUAAACAUGUUUAAGGCUCCAAGGGAUAAGCUUUCUUGCAUCCUAAACUGCUGUAAAGUCAACAAUAACUUACUGCUGAAUGCUUCUAGCUAUUAUAUCGAAUGAUAAUCCUCCUGGAGCUGAUGAAUUCCUUCGAGUCCUCAUCUAUAUUUGGGAAUUAGUUACAUGGUUAUUCUUUUGCAAGUUUAGAUAAAGAGCAUACAAGCAUACUUAUGCUUAUGUUAUUACUCACCGCAAAGUCAUUUUUUGUUUCACAUUGCGGGUAUUUUGAAGUAAUUAUUUCACACGAUAAUGUUUGAUUCUUCAUUUCAACUGGAUGUAGGCUGUCAAGGAAAUACGAUACAACUUUCUGGCUGGUUUUGCGGCAGGGCUGUAAAAUUUAAUUUGCAACUUGAAGGGUACAAACAAGGUAGGCCUAUGUGAUUUAUAAAGUUCAAGUUUCUUGCACAUUUAUCAUGUGAGGUCUAUGGUAGGUCAAGUACUACCCAUGUUUUCAAGUAUUUUUUUUCUAUCCAAGGGUUCCUGAUAGAUUUCUUCAUAUGCCAUUAUGUGAGGCUAUGUAUGAGACAGUGUGUUGGUUUAUAGAUGCAACAUGCAAGUGAAUCGUGUUGGUUUUGAAGCCGCAGCUUUGGUUAGCAGUUAGAAUAAAUGUGAGAUCUUCUAAAUUCUGUUGGUAAUUUGCCAUUUUCCUAAUAUUCAUGUUUGAGGUUGAUGGUUCAGAACUUAAACAGAUUCUUUUUGCAGGGUUAUACUAGCAGUGAACAGCCCAUAUGUGGUUGGGGGCAACCAUUACGGCAUCGUCGUCUCCAUCAAGGUUCAGUCACUUGCGGUAGCACAUGUCAAGUAGCUUCAAUGCCAGAUUUCUUAUGACAGUUACAAUUUACUUGUGCAUUUCGUAAAGAUUUCUGAAACUUGUAGUUUUAUGAGCAUGCCCGUGUGAUAAGUACAACCAUGAUGGUUGCACAUUGGUAGGUGUCAUGUGUUUUCUAAUUUUGCAACUGAAAAUGGUAGAAAGACACCUGGUCUUCAUAUUUAGCGAUGUCUGACUAAAGAAUUGCUGUUUGUGUGUCAUGUUUAUGGUUGAAGUUAUCAGGAGAUUUUUUACUAACUCAAGCUAUGCUGGUCACUUUGUGCCAGGCAGUGGAUGCUUGGACAUGGAGCUGGUCGCGUGUGAUUCUUGUGAUUCUUCUACAGCUCUACGCUUUGUCAUCCAUGUGAUUCUGUUUAGUGGAACCAUGUCUUGUUACAUUACAUCUGAUAUUAUUUCUUUGUCAGAUCUGGAGCACUCUUGAAGAUCAUUUUAAUUAAUUCCAAAGGAUUAUGACAUUGGUGUGAGCAAAAGGAUCAAUACAAUAGUUGCUUUGCUGAAUGUGUUGUGCACUGUAAAUCAUUUGUUGUCCGUAGCAACGCACGGGCACGAUCCUAGUAAUGUAAAAAAUUGAACUCGGAGCACAAUUUGAUAGGAAGAGACUUUGGGAGAGCAAGCUAGGCUAGAGAACGAGAAGGGCAAGAUGGCGACUAAUUCGUUUGUCAACUCGAGGCACUAAGGUUAGUCUCAAUAGAAAGUUUUAUAGGAGUUUCAUGAGCAUUAAAUUGUAUGUCACAUCAGCAAUUUUGCUGAUAUGGCAAGUCCAUUAUGAGGAGAGAGAAUGGAGAGUUUCAUCGUACGUGAGAGAAGUUUCAUCCCCAUGACACUCAUCAUGCACAAUUACCAAGACAAGUUCACAAUCUUGGUAAGUGUACAAUAAAACUGUGCAUUGAGACUGGCCUAACAAACUACACCUCAUUUCAUUCAUUGAAUCCGAAGGCGAAGACUUCCUACAAGUUGCAGAUAAAGCAAGAAGCCAAGAAACUAAAAAUAUUCUUCAUUUUUAAGUGAAGGAAAUUUAUCAUGGUCAAUUAUGAACUCAACAAUCUGUUAUUACAAGUUGCAGCCAAUGCAAUAAAAGCAUGUAAAAGUUUCUUUUUUCUAGUAGACAAUCCACCCAUGAAGAUCACCAUAACUCUCAUUUCCAAAGUUAGGGAUGGCAGUCACACCCAUAGGUACGGGAGCCCACGGGUUUGGCACCUAAUGUGUGCAUGUGUAGGUGUAGAGUUUCACCCACAGGUCCAGGCUCGACCUGUUGACCCGACCUGGGUCGGACCGGUGUAGAAUUUCACCCAUGGGUGCCUAGUGGGUGCCCAAAAUCCCUUAAGGCUUUAACCUUAGCCUUUGUUAAAGUAUUAAAUUAUACUAAUAUAAUGAACUUUUGAUGUUGAAUUGUUGAUGUAUCAAUUGUGAAGUGGAAGUUUAGAUUGCUACCUUGCUAGAGUGGAAUUGUUUAUGUACUAUCAAAAAUUUUUACACUAGCAUAAAAUCUGAUCUUCGCUUAUAGCAAGGGAUGCAGGCUAUUACCUAAGUAUCUCCAGCAGUCUCCCAAUAAAUAUUUCUCAAUAACUAGUUAAUGAAGAUAUCCCAAUAUCCAUUUCAUUGUUAUUGGAAGAGCUACUUUUGUAGUCUUCCAAUAAUCCCAUCCCAAUCCAACUAUCAUAUUGGGAGGGUCACAACAUCUCAUUUAUUUAGGGAGAGUUGGUAUGAAUUAUUGGGUUGUCCCAAUAAUUAUUGGAAAAAGGGAAAAAUAAAGGGAGUAUGUCUCCUAAUAUGAUGGUUGGAUUGGGAAUUAGGGAACUGCUGGAGAUGCUCAUCUCCAAUAAUCUCCUAAUAAUCCUUUCCCAAUAAGUAGUAUUGGGAUAUCUCCCAAUACCGGUUUUAACAUUAUUGGGAGAGUUACUUUUACAAUCUCCCAAUAAAUCAUUGUUUUGUUUCUAUAUAUACGUGUACAUAAAAACUAUGAAUAUUCCAUUUUGAUAUCCAAAUAAUUCAAAGCAUUAUGUCAAAACCUCACACAAAGUCAUCAACAUUUCAAAUCCAUAAAUUUCAAAUCAAAUAAAUUUAAAAUUUGAUAUACAGUCCAAAUGCAUCAAAUAGUCCAAACCAAACUAAUUGGUCAAAAGAGUAAUGACUGUACCAGAGAAGGUGAUGAUUCAUAAGUUUUGCUGGAUUAAUGAAAUUUGCAAUUGAAGAUGCAUGGAUAAAUAUUUGUGAAGUGAUGCUCUAAGCUACUCGUAGAUUGGGGUUGGAUGUCCGGUGCCAGCGACGGUGGACGGAAGAAGUGCGUUGUGUGAAGGCCUGCUGCUUGACAUCGACGGAGUGAAGCCCAAACCAGCCCACAACCUGCAAAGGCAACGACUUCGCUCACCCGUCAUCGGCGGCAUUUAUCCUCUACGAUGGCUUCCGAUGUCGGCGGCGUCACAGAGGCAUCGUGGACGCAACUACGAUGCCUUCCGAUCUACUCUACUUGGCCUUGUGCGCUCGGGCGCGGCCAUCAGCGACCGGAUCCCGACUAGCAGCGCCACCAGACGUACGCCGCCGACCUGGUCCGUCCUUUUCUCCGGCCUCCGGGCGCAGCGCUAGCUGUUGUAGUUGCUCGAUCGAUUCGAUCAACUUAUGAGUUUCCAAACCUGACCUAGCUAGCAGUGAUCUCCCUUCUCCAUCUUCAUUGACUAUCUUGGUAACUUGAUUUCCUCCACCCAUAUAUGUGUAUCUUCUCUGCUAUUAGCGUAGCGUUUGGAGGGACGAGGGUGGGGGAAAAUGGGGUGAGUCUCCUCUGCAUUGGUUGGAGCUGCCCCUGGUCACUGACGUAUGGAUCCGGUCUCAUAUAUCAGUGAUUCAACUGAUAGCAGUACUGCAGAGGAACCACUGGGAGAUCGAGGGAAACCAUCUUGCAGACACAAGACGGUCAAAGGACAUGGCUGAUGAGAACACACAAGGCCAAGGGCCGGGGCAGCAGCCAAGGCAAACGGCACGCAAGAAGGCCCGGCGGCGGUCCGCCGCGUAUGAGGCUAUGAGCACUUCACCUGUUUCGCAAAUGCUCAGGGGAAGGACAAGGCGCGGUGCAGGUAUUUCCGUCUUGAGCUCGUCGCAAACACCAAGAACAGCACGAGCAACCUGAGGUCGCACGUCAGGGUACGAAAGGCACGGGACGGGGAGUCAUCGCGUCCAACAAGCUUUUACUUAAUAAUAUUAUGUUAAUAUAUCAACCCAUUCAAAUUCAAGUAUAAUAUCAACCCAUUUAAAUUAUUAACACUCAAUAGUUUGUACAUCAAUACUUAAAGUUUGAGAGAGAACAAGUUCAAAUCUAUAAGAAAAGAGCACUACGCCACAAAUAAUUUUCACUGCCGGUCAAAAUCGAUUUCUGCUGGCGGGUUUCACACCCACCAGCAACUCACUAUCAGCACAAAUGGUGACUAUACUGGCGGGUGUCCGCCCGCCAAUACAGUUCCAAUUUGCGCUAGCGGGUGCUUAGGUGGCCCGCCAGCACAGAUAUUUUUAGGAAAAAACAGGAACAUCGCCCGUCGCCACCAUGCCCCCGCACCCAGCGGCCGCUGCUACCUCACUCGUGCCCAUGGCUCCCGCGCCCGUCGCCACUCGCCGCUCCCAUCCCCACCGCCUGCCGCUCCCGCGCCCAUCGCCGCCCGCCGCUCCUGGAGAUAAGAGAGAGACAAAUGUGAGGACGGAAGACAGAGAGAGACAGAAGACAAAUGUGAGGACGGAAGAUAGAAGAGAGAGGGAUAGAAGAUAAGAAGGGAGAGGUGGCUGCUCGAGUGCGCUAAUUUUUGGCCCCGCGCUCAGUGCUAGAGAAUUUUUGGCUCCACGCUCAGUGCUGGCGGGUGAUGUGUCUGUGCUGACGAGUGACAUUAUCGCCUGCCAGCACAAAUCUAUGUACAUUUUUAAAAAAAAUUAGACAAUUAAAUUAGUUUAAAAGUUAUUGAAUCUUCUACAACAAAAUAUAUAUACAUAUAUAUAUAGUAUUAUACAAGUAAAAAUUAUAUUAGUAUACAUAUGAUAUUUGGUUUUCUAAGUUAGUUGACAAGCUUAAAGUGUGACUUGAGUUAUAUGAAACAUUAUUAGUGAAGUAUACAUUUGUGAAUAAUGUAGAGUCUAAUUUUUGUAAACAUAUCGCAACUUUUAUAUCAAGGUUGUUGACUCACAAAAUGACUCCCUACCAAUUUAUAUAAUUUUCGAACCAUAUUUUCAUAUUAUUAGAAUUUUUUGCACCUAAAGUUAUAAAUAAAAGUGAUAAAUACAUUAACAAACUUGUGAAAAUUUCGCAUGUACUUUCAUGAUUUGAGAUAAAAUGGAACAUAUUUCCUUAUUGUCAUUUUUAUGCAAUUUUUGAAUCUUAUAUGUGAAAAAUUAGUUCAAAUAUCAAUUAAUUUCAACAAACGUGGUUAUAAUCGUAGAAAAUUGCAAAUCACUUCUAAAAGUUUUGAAACUCCUACACAAUUGCAUAUAUAUAUAUAUAUAUAUAUUCUAAUACAUGUUAAAAAUAUAUUGGGAUAUGCACGAUUAAGUUUUUGGCUAGUUAAAAACUUUGAGCCCUCCCCAUCAAUAAAAAUUGGAAUGCAUUUGUGCUGGCGGGUGACAUAACCACCCACCGGCACAAAUGCAUUUGUGCUAACGAGUGGCAUACAGGAUGGCCACUGCACCUUCGGUGUUGGCGGGUGGCAUUCAUGCCCGCUAGCACUCAAAAAUCAAGGUGGCAGCACAAAUCGUUUCUAGCGUAGUAGGGUACGGUAGGAGUACAUCCAUGCAUGCUACAUACUUAAUAAUUCGCUUCGCUUUCGUAGAUAUGCCACAUAGUUUAAGUCUCCAAUCGUAAAGUCUAGAAUUUCAUCAAUAUAAGCUAAAGCAUGAAUUAGUGCACUCUCUAGCGCUUCACAAGAAUGGUCACAUGCAUUACCAUAAAUCUUGAACAAUGGAGACGACGUUAACUGAAAUGGCUUGUAGAAAGUGAGAUGAGCUUGGAGCUUGAAAUCUCUCGUGUGUAUCGAGUUUCCAUCGGUGUAACUAUAAUUCAACACAUCCAAGACUUGAGCCACAAUCGUAUGAAAUCUCAUUGCCACCAAGAUUUAACCAAAGACAUCUUAAAAAAAGAUAAUAAUGUGAUGAAAUUUAAAAGAUGUAACACAAUUAAAGAUAAAAGGAUGAUUAGAUAUGUCCCAUACCAUGUCAUGUUGAUUCAGCUGACAAAGCCUCUCAGUAGUCCUAGUCACAUUGCUUUCUCCCUUCGAGCUCAUUUAUUCGAAAAUAUGAGAUGUCUGGCACAAAGACCAUGAUCCUUAAGCUGUUGUAAGCAGGCCUCCACGGCAGUCCUUUCCAAAUUUACCCUACUUGGUGCUAAUUGACCCCAUGCGGUAAUUGAAACCAUCGAUAUGGGUUGUCCUGAUACUCUCAUUCGGUUGGCCUGUGUUUCUCGAAUAGGUACUUGAAAAGAGAUUUUUACUCUUUUAAAAUUCCCGAAUAGGUACUUGAAAAGAGAUUUUUACUCUUUUAAAAUUCCGUGAACCAACUAUCUCAAAUUGCACUAAAGGAGAAGUACCACCUAGAACUUCGAUAAUAUUUUUUAGCCAUCUAAUAUUAUCGAUAAGCUACAUUGUAUGUAAGUGAACUUAGGAAUUAUUCAUGUUAGUAAAAAAACCAAUUACAAGAAGAAAAGAAUAUUACUAUGUUGGGAAUUAUUCCUCUGCUUCGAUCGCCUUUUGGAAAGUCAAUGACGUGAUUAGGGAAGUGAAUUCCUGGAGGACGAGCCAGCGGUGGCUCCUCAAAAAUGUAGUGUCCACGGCCGCGGCCACCUCCGCGGCCACCACCACCACAGCGAGAAGAACUUCCACUUGCCAUAGUUAGCCCAAACUGUCCAAAUAAAAUUGUUAUAAGAUAAUUUACCACCAUUUUUCUUAACUAGUCAACUUUGUCACCAAUAAUACAUUAUCAUAUAGGCACAUCAUGUACAUUAAAAUAAAUCUAGACCAUCAUUUCAUAGCCAUCCACAAUUCUAUCACAAUGCUACCCGUGAAUAUCUACAUAUCCUCUAAGAGAUAUAGCCUUAUGCCAUAAUUGUAUCACAAAAAAUAAUUACUUAGCAUCCAAUACAAAUUGGUAUCCAAUUCAAGCAAAAUCAUAGCUAUUUUAAUCCAAUACGGGUAGCAAAAUUAUUUUAACGCAUUAAAAUAAAAAUUAUCAAAAUAAAGAAAACCUAACCAGGGAGUACGCAUGGGGGAGGCGGGGGAGGGAGAGGCGCGGUGAUGGUGAUGAUGACGAGGGCGAUGGGCGACGGAGCCGGGGACAGGGCGAAGACGAUAGCGACGUAGUUGGGGAUGGGGUGGUGGCGGUCGGGGAUGGGACAACGACAACAGUGAUGGAGACAGAGACGGGGAUGGGAUGGGGCUACGGCGACUGCUAAUUUUUGGAAACUGCUAAGUGUUUGGAGAAGACGUAGUAUUUGUAGGUGGGACACUUUAGUACUGGUGCUAGCCUUUGCCCGGUACUAAAUUCCUCCAUUUAGUACCGGGCAUGCUUCCAACCGGUACUAAAGUUGUCAAAUUGGUGGGAACUGAAACUGCCCACCUCUAGCAGUUUUCUUUCCCGCGCACACUGUCUUAAUUCUAAUAAAAUGUUUCAAUAAUUACGACAAGGUUGUCACAUGUAUAUAUGUAUAUAUAUGAAAUAGUAGAGAUAAAAAUUCAUCACAAAUAUUAACUAGAGUACAUUACAUAUUAAAUCCAUCGUACAUAUUAAAUCUUAUAUAAAUGAGAUACUUAGGAUCGUCCACAUCAUGAUCGUUAAUCAUCGCAACAUACAAACUAUGAUUAAUAUCGAUUCCUAAGAACCCAUCGACAUAAUAUAGCGCAUAUAUGUAUCCACUAUCCCUAGCCUUGUAGGGCAUGUGGAAUGUCUCUCCAAUUCUCACUGAAAUCAUGGAUGAUGAUAAGGUAAUGUCAGCUUGCCAACCACCACGUACUUGACUCGGGUCAGCUCUUGUGAAUGUCCAGUCAAUGUUCCCCAGGCGUAGGACUUCAUUUAGACCUUCAUCGACGUGCAUGAAGCCAUUAUACAGUGCAUCCUUGAGUCAAAUGGCAAUCAAUAAAAGUGUUACUAAACAUAUUGCAAAUUAUUAAAAAAAUAAUGACUAACUGUAAUUUACAUACAUUGGGCGAUUGAUGCACUGGUGAUAUCCGUUUAGGCAUUUGUGUGACGUCCGGCUUAUCGUAUUCGAACGCUUUAAUCUUAAAUUAACUGUAGUUUGGAAAUACGUGGUUUGUCUGACGUUCUAUUUGGAUUAGUGCCUGCCUCACAGCACUACAUAAGGCAACAUGUGGCUGUUGUGCAGCAAUAGAAUUGACAUGGAUAAUAAUCAUUAGACAAGUCUUUGCUCCCGCAUGCCCGCAGAAUUAAAGGAUAGAGAAACCACAUAUUUUCCUUCUGUUGGACUCAUUUGUUCAUGUAGCACCAUAGGAGCUUGUUCAGUCACAUUAGUCGUAACCACUCGAUUAGUGAAACAAGCUUCAAUAAAAAUUAUAAAAAAAUAUUAGUACAAUGUAAUGAGUAAUAAAAAUCAGUAUUAGAGUACAAAGGAUGUAAGUACCACGCUUCGGUGUAAGUGCGGUUGUGUAAUGGGCACGGGGUCCAUGACCGAUGAGGAAGGAAGCACUAGCAGGAUGCGCUAGGGGAUCGAGGGGAAAUGACGGGAUAUCGUUCAACGCUACGAUGUAUUGGCAUUUUUUCCUACAAAUUUUUAUCAAAUACAUAUCAUUCACAUGAGAUACAAAAAUUAUUGGUAAAAAAUAGAAUUAUUGUUAAAUUAGAGUGGCAUCCUGAAAUCAACAUUUUUUGCUUUCCAUUUCAUACCGUUAGCACACUGGAAAUGCUGCAAUAAAACUCUCCAUUCUCCUCAUUCUAAAAUACCCUCCAUCCUCCUCAUUCUAAAAAAAUCAACAAGUACUCCAUUUGUAACAUAAAACUCAUUCUUAAAAACGCUUCAUUCUCCUCAAUCUAAAAUACUCUCAUCAUUCUAAAAAAUCAACAAGUACUCCAUUUGUAACAUAAAACUCAUUCUAAAAAACGCUUCAUUCUCCUCAAUCUAAAAUACUCUCCUCGUUCUAAAAAAUGCUUCAUUCUCCUCAUUCUAAAAUAUUUUCCUCAUUCUAAAAAAUUAACAAAUACUCCAUCAGUAACAGAAAACUAAUUUCAAAAACUCUCAAAUCUCCUCCGCUCUCCUCCUUCUACAAAAUCAACAAGCUAAGCACUCCAUUUGUAACAUAAAAUUCAUUCUAAAAAAUUCUCCAUUCUCCUCAUUCUAGCUAACAUACUCUCCAUUCUAGCUACAAAACAUAAAACAUAGAAUACUAACCAUGAGAGGAGAGAGUUGCUAACCUUUACCUCCUCCCCUAAGAUCAAGUGAAGAAGCCCGAGCUCUCAGUCAAAUGGUUGAGCUUAGGCUCAGGGAGGAAGAAGUAGCUCAUUUUAUAGUGUUACCUUUAGUACCGGCUGGUGGGUAGAGCCAGUAGUAAAUGGUUGCAUGUUAGUACAGAUACCAGUCGGUACUAAAAUGCAUAAACACCAUUUAGUACCGGCUCCACCUACCAGCCGGUACUAAAUGGCUUUCCGUCGGUGGCCACGCGGUCCACAUACUGUCAUUUAGUACCAGCUGAGACUCCAAACUGGUACUACAGGGGCUCCAGUGACACUAUGCAUGACGAUCGGUACUAACGCACGAAUGCUCAAUUUUUCAGUAGUGACCAGUACUGGUUUCUCUUGAUGAGGACGCGGUUGGUCGCAUCAUGUCCGAUAUUGGAUAUGAAUAUGUGCGCGUCGGUCGAAAUGAGAUGUUCGUGAUAGCAGGGGAACAUAUGGGCCACAUUAAUCACCUUAAACUGAAGGAUCGAAUGGAGCAAGAAUUGGAAAAGAAGAUUUAUAGUGCCACCUACAUGGACCAUGUGCUUCACUCCAUUGCUCGAUGCCUUCUUCCAGAUUCAGAAUUCGCAGUAAGGACCUUCGAAACUAUCGAGGGGCGACAAGAAGAACUUUUACGGGAACACGAGGAUCUUCUUACACAAUUUGGCCUACUAGAUAACCCAUGGGAGUACGAUGAGCGCUGGUAUUCAUGCUGUUGUUCUUUGGAAAUACUUGGCCAGACAUAUUCAUCGGAUUCAGAUGAGAGAUGACUGCACAGAACUACUGCGUACUCUUUGGCGGGAGAUAUACCAUGCCAUUAAAAGAGUUUCUGACUCCAGCCGUCCCACUUCAAAUCUUUGUCUUAUAGAGUUGUUUAAACUGAGAGAAGUUUUGCAAUCUCAACUAGAAUCGGCAAAGAUUGCCAACAUUCUACCUAAUUAUUUUCUACGGCGCAAAAAAGGCACACAGAUGUUGCAGGCGUUCUCAGAAAAGCAACUCCUGAAGUGGUGGAAGGAUAACAGCCGGAAUUACCCGACGAUGGCUCGGAUGGCAAGGGACGCUUUGGCCAUGCCCAGAUGCAGAAGCUUUCUUCGGAGCAAAUGGCCCACGUCACGAGCAUCCUACGUGGUUACUCCAAGGAAGCAUUUGGAGACCUACCUUAGGAAACGAGCAAGAGGAAGAUUAUGUACUAUGUUCGGAAUUUUGUAAUAAUCUCUGCUACUCCUGUUGUAUGGGAACUCGUUUGUUGCAAAUAUAUUCCACUCAUGUUUGCUUCCCCAACCCCAGCCAACGAUUUUAACUCAAAAGUCAUGGUGGUGCAGUGCAGAAUGCAUAGGAAGAGCUCUACAUACUACCCAUCUUUCUUAUGUAUGCAGGAAUAGCAGUAUCAUUAUUCGUUAAUUCAUUCAGUGAUUCGUCUAAACCAUGUUCCUCUAACUAUAGCACCCCAGCCAGUUCGUCCUGUUCGUCCCUGUUCCCCAACCAUCAAUACUAGCUAUGUGAUCGUUGUUCGUUAAAACGGUGAACUUGAGCAGGAGAUGUAUACCCAGCACUAUGCCCAAUAAGCAUCGAGAACAAAAUAUUUCAAUCUACAAGAACCAUCUGUAGAACAGAACCAUCAUCACCAAAAGCACUAAUAUGAUUUCGCACAACUGAGAGCAAAGUACUUUCGGAAUUUGGGGCUAACACACGUAGAUGAAUGGGAGGAACUUGGCAGUGCCGUUCCAAGUUCCAACUGGUCACCUUCAGGCUUCAUUACCGAGGUAGAGCAAAAUCUAUUGUAGUGUUUGCAAGCAAAAGAACAAGGCUUAAUCAGAAAAAUGUAAGAUGAGGGGUCUUGGUCAAAAUUAGAAUGUGGCAAAGGACAUGUCAUGUCGAAAUCUCUACGAUAAAGAUAAGAAAGGGAAACCAACCAACAAAAUGAUAUGUAAAACAGGCAGCUGCUCAUGGUUAAAUGGGUAAGCCUAAGCGUACAGCAGUGCAGACCAUAAUAAGCACAUUGGUAUAGUGAGCAGGAAACAACUCAACAGCAGCAGGAGAUGAUCUUUAACCUACAGUUAAGAACAACCGGUGUAAAAAUAAAUGACAUACUGCCCCAGGUUCCAACAAAGAUAACCGAUACAUAAUCACCAGUACUUUUAAGGAUCUGGAAGAUAGCUCUGUUACUUUAUCAAAUUUUGACAAUAAUCGACAGUUUCCAAUAGGGACCAUCAGUGAUUUUGCUGAUGAGUGCUCAGAUUUCCUGACCAAAAUUUGCUAAGGCACUCUGUCAGGUCCUAAUCCAUACAGAAUAAAGGGAACAUCCUGAAACAUUAAAUCAAGAUGCAGUAGUGCCUGAACCAUUCUCUUUGUAUUAUGUCCCUAGCCAUCAUCAGAUGCGCUUGGUCAAACCUACCAGGAUGAUUACCAAAACAGUAAUGAGAAUGAUGAUGGCAAUACAAAGAACUACUACUCAAUAACUGAUGGCACUCCAAAUUUUAAACUAACAUAAUUUAAACAAUAUUAUUUGCUACAACAGUCCCAACAUUUAAAUGUCACUUAACUAGUCUAUCGAUACAGUUGAAAUUAUGGAGCUUUAAAAGGACACUAGGGAACUUUAGAAUGAACCCCAGAUAUAUGAGAAAAAUCAUUCUUACAGAGAGAAAAAGAAUGAAUAUAUUCAGACAAUAUACAUCCAUUAUUCACUACCUUACUAGCAGAUAAACAACACUAGCUGCCGUUGUUUCUAUGAGUAGAAAUCAUAAGAUAAAACAGAGCUAAGCAUGAUCAUUCUAAACUUUUAAUUUACAGACAACAUGCAACAUAAUGCUCUCCAAAGCAAACAAUAUAAAUUAGACUGACACACUAAAUCCACUGAUUUCACCAUACAACACCCCAAGUCCAGACCGUUGUGAUGCUUCGACAUUUGCAUCCCAUGUAUGGUGUAUAAAUUAUGAAAUGUGUUCUAAAAUGCAACACCCCCAUCUCAUCAACAUGUCAGACAACAGAUGCAACACAUUUUAAUUAUCACGCACAACUUCAGCAUAUGGAAACACAAAAUCAGCAAGGGAAAUAUGGACAACCAACAUGAAUUCCCACAUCCAAUUGCAGAAAUACAAAAAGAAAGUAUGCAAUGGGUUUCACCUUGGGAGAGGCAGCUCCAGCAUGCCGAGUCGGCGGCGAUGCAGGACCGCAGCCGCGCGGCCGCCACCGCGCUGUGCAGCGGCAUGAGCGUGUCCAGGCUCGCCAGCGCCGCCGCCACAACGGGCCUGCAACAGGCAGGGAUCAAGAAAAGGCACCCCAUUUUCAGGCUUCCAGUAUCGCUCAAAGCAAAGACCUAGCUAAUGGCAAGAGCACGCAGAAGGAUUCGGGGGGUUUGGGCAUCACCUGCGGAUGCGCGGUGGCGCGAGAGGGGACCUCGCCGCCUGGAACAACCUCUCCACCGGGGAUCUCGACCGGAGCGCCGCGGACCUCACGGCGGCGGCGGAGCGGCACAAGGACGCCAUGGUUUCUCGCGAUGGAGGACGGGGACGCGAGGCUGGGCAAACCUUACACAAAAGCCUGGGUAGACUGGGCUGGGCUAAAGCCCAAUUUCUCAGAUAUUGGUCCAAUCGAGCCCCCCAUGAGGGAAAGCUCCGUAACCAUCAAGCCCAUGCCCAAAUUGAAAAACAGUUCUUUUUUUCCUUCUUGUGCUUUGCAAAUUGCAACCUUCUUCAACCUUGCACGAGUCCUCUCGGUGGCACGAAAGAAUCACUGUGGGCAUAUAGUAUAAUAACAGGACAAAUAAAUAGUAGUUGGAGAAAUUGAGGGGCUUUGCUGCAGCAAGUUCUAUCUAGAAGAUUUGGGCGCCUCUGAAGGUCAAGUUCUUCAUGUGUCAAGUUCUUCAUGUGGCUUGCCGUCAAGGAUAGACUAUGACAGCGAAAAGGAGACAUAGGCAUGGGUUGCGAGACCACACGACCUGUGCACUUUGUGAUCAAGAAUUAGAGACAGCUGACCACAUCUUUGUAAAGUGUUCUUGCACACAGGAGGCCUGGCAAGCAGCUAGCAGUAUGCUGCACAUGCAAAACCAAGCGCGGAGUCCUGACAUGACGACAAUCGAUUGGUGGCUUCAAAAGAGACUGGGGCUGAAUAAGCUGAAGAAAAAAGAAUGGACUCUGUAUUCAUGUUAAUCUCUUGAAAAAUCUGGAAAGAGAGAAAUGACAGUGUUCAGCAGACAUCCUGCCAACACAGCUGCAAGGUUGUUCAAUGACAUUCUAGAAGAGGCUCAGCUUUGGAUCAGCGCCAGCACCAAGCGCCUGACCGCUUUGGGAUGGCCGGCUGCAGUAGGAGUCCUAGGUCCCAUUUAGCUUCCUAGUUAUGUUUACUUCCUAUUUGGUUGUUUUCUUUCUUGGCGUGUGUGCCCGGAUGGCCUGUGUUAUAAGACAACUCCUAAUUUUCUUCUAAAAUAUAGAGAUACGUAGCUCUCCUGCGUAUUCUCAGAAAAAAAAAUUGGAGGGUCUAAUCCUGCAAGCAUACUGCAUGCCUACCUUUUAGCUACCUAUGUUAAGUGCCCAAUCAUUAUCUAAAAAAAUGUUAAGUGCCCAAUAUGGCUCUGUCUGGCCUCCGGCAUGACGCUGGAUUCACCCCCAAUUGAUCAGGUAUCUAUUAAUACAGCGUGGUUCAUUACAGUUUUAAUUUAGGAGGAAAAUUUAAACCAUGAUGCAAUGAUAAUGCCACAUGUGAGACGGAGAAGAUAUGAUGAUCUGGGACACUUUUGUGGUUCAUCUGGAGCAUGUGGAGCCAUACUUAAAAAAAAAAGCUAAUAAAAGCGACAAAGGAUGAUCAACUUUGCGAAAGGGAAUAUGAAUACUUAUAAAUAUUUGCAGGUGUUUGACUGCAAAAGAUGGAGAUAUAUACAAGGUAGCAGGUGUUGGCUGCCGCGCGUUCUGGGCUAAAGGCUUCCGGCGUGGCUGGAGAUCACCGGAGUUGUCACUGAUCUCCUCGAUCGCUGUCAGCUGCAACACCACCAACCUGCACCCUGCGACCGUGAGUUCCCCAAACUCCUCAGCGUCUGUUUCAAUCGACCAUGGCAGAGGGCGAGAGCGCCCAAGGGCGAAAGCGACCGCGGCGCGACAUGGCGCCCCCGUCCGCCGUGUGGGAGCAUUUCACCCGCUUCACGGACGACAACGGCAGGGACAAAGCACGGUGCAAGCGCUGCCACCAGGUGCUCGGCGCAGCCACCAAAAGCGGCACGAGCACCCUGUGGGGGCACGUCAAGUUAUGCAGCAACCGCGACGGAGUACACCGCGAACCGCACCCAACACCGCCGCCGCCGCCCUGUGCUCCGUUGAGCCCUGCUGAAUCUCCGAACCCCAGCGAAGAUCCGGCUCGGAUGAUCGCGCUGAAUGGAUACGACCCAUCGGUCAUGGGGGACGGCUACUUCAGGAGCUUCGCGCGCCGCCUCAGCCCUGAGUUGAAGCUGCCCUCGCGCCUCGCCGUCGAGGAGGGAUGUGCGAUGGCAUUUUCGACGACACAAGGAAGGAUCUCUUCUCCAGGCUACAGCGGACCUCUGGGCGGGUCAGCCUAGCUGUAGGCAAAGCUGAAGCUGUCGAGGGGGUGGUCUUGUACACAGCGUGCCACUUCAUCGACGACGACUGGAACCUUCACAGGAUGGUCAUGGAUGCUUACGAUAAUGUGCCUUGGCCUCUCUACCAUGGCCCACUGUCCGGAGUCCCUGAGGUUUCUGGAGUUCCUGGUGUUUCACUGGAGGUGGCUCAUGAUCUCUCUACUCUGGCCAUUGACCGUGUCAUGGAUGACGGUACCGCAUCAGGGUCAGAGCGUGAUGUUCUGGACAGGGUGUUCAUGGUGGCACGGCCUAAAUGGGACAUACGUAAUCACACCGAACCCAAAGAUCACAUUGAGCAAGAGUAUCCUACCACCCACCCAAGGAGGAGAGAACUGGUUGUCUGUGACACCUACAUGGACAUUGUGCUCCUCCUGAUUGGUCGACGCCUUGUCGCACACCCGGAUUUGAUAAUUGAUACCAUCGCUGCACAUCAUAUAGAGUCAGGCGUGCAGGAUUUACGUCUGACUAGAAAAAGGCACCAGCAUCUUCUUUCGCACCUUGGCCUAUCUAGCUGACCUUCGGGCAUACAACCAGCACCCCACCUCAAAUCUUUGUCUUGGAGAGCUGUUCAAUGUGAGGCAAGUGUUACAGUUUGAAAAGGCACGAGCAGGUGGAGACAAUGCACGUGUUCUUCAAGAUGCUAUCAACACUUUGGACAGGAGGAUGCAUGAUUCAUACCUGGUAUGGUCUAUACCACUUGUACUGGAUCCCCGGUACAAACUCACAUACAUAGAGUUCAGCUUCAGAAGAGCAUUCGGUUCCAAGGAAGCUGCAUACUACAUCUCCGAGGUAACCCAAAGAUCAGGAAACUGUAUACUGAAUACACUGAACAUGAUGGUGCAAUCUAUGGUGCAGAUCCAGAUGGUGCUACAGCGACGGCCAUUGGUAGCGCUGGUCUGCUAGAACAAGCAUGGGAUGAGCACUGCCGGGCACAUGGUGAGGGUGGUAUGCUGCCUCCAGUAGCCAGCAGUUAUCCAGAAGCCGAGAGGGAACUAGAUCGUUACCUGAAAGAUCGCCUAGCCCCUCGAACAGAAGGUUUUGACAUUCUGAACUGGUGGAAGGCUCACAGCUUGGAGUACCCAACAGUGGCUUGGAUGGCGAGGAACGCUUUGGCCAUGCCCACAUGCAGCCAGCUUUCUUCUGAGAAGGUAGCCCAUGUCAGGAGCAUCCUUCGUGGCUACUCCAAGGAGGCGUAUAAGCAUCAGGUAGGUCUAACACAAUGAAGCAGCACCUCAAGUAAGGGCGAGUGUGUUUGCAAAGUUCCCCAGUUUCGUAGUCUUUCAACCUUAUUGGUGAGGUCACUUACUCAUUACCAUUUAUGCUGUUGUAUGCCAAAAUGCUGCACUCAUAAAAAGACAUGCCACAAUUGUUCCAUUGAUCAGGUGGUGAUAGACAAAUGACCUGUUUUACUCUUUUAUAGGAAUCAGUCUGCUCACGUGAUUCCAUGUUUCCUAAUUCCCAUGAUUUAAUUUAUAUCAUCAAUAGUUCCCAUAGGGAAGGGGGGGGGGGUGUUCAGGUGGUUUUGCUGCUGCGAUCUCCUUAAAAAAUUUAAUAAGACAUGCUGCUAGAAAACAUUUAACCAUGACAUAGCGGGCAUGAACAAGUCUUUCACACUGUGUCCCAGCCAUGAUCACUUGAUCAGAUGCGCUUUAUCAAACCUACAAGGAUUAAUACCAAAACAGUAAUGAGAAAGGAUACUGACAGAGUGACAGUACAAGAGAACAAAGUACUCAACGAGCGAUGCAUUGCCAACUCAAAUCUACACAAAUCUAAACAAUUAUUGCCUUCUACAACAAUCUGAUUAUUUAGAUAUCCAACUCAACUAGCAUAGAACCAUGCAUGAAUGUGCUAGCCAAAGUGCAGUUCAAGCCCUAAGAAUCCUUAAGACUAUUGAACAAGAACAGACCCAUAGGAGAAAAGCACGCUUAUAAAGAGACUGAAUAUAUUCAGACAGAAACAUCACAACAAUUUUUCAUUCUUGAAUUUCCUACUUGAUAGUGAUAAAUACAAACAUCCGAGACUAUGUGUCACAUACAGAGAUCCGGAUAACCCUGAACCCUAGCAGCCCGACCUCACCGAUGGCGGCAGCCGGACCACAAGGGCAGGGAUAGAAGGGGCUAACCCUAAGAGAUUGAUAUUCUCAUUGCUUGCCUUCCAUUGGUACAACUCCUCUCCUUAUACUUAUAUAGAGAGGAUUACUUAAUGCCUGCCUAAGUAAGAGAUCUAAUCUUAUCCUUAACUUAACCCUAAUGGGCCUGGCCCAAUCAGCCCAGCCGAACUGCCCAUGACACUAUGCAUCGUCUCUGAAUCUUGGUUUUGUAAGUACAAAAUCAUACAAUCGUACUGAGAGUUCCAAAUUUCUAAGCUACUGCCAAUAAGAAAUAAAAUGCUCUAGAAAGCUAAAGAAAGUUCAUCAGAAACUCCUAAUGGCAGUGUUCAUGUAUCACCUUACACCGAUGGUACACCUAGACUCCUGUAUCCCUUCGUAAGUGCAAUAUGAAUUGUGUUCUGAACACAUAAAUGCGACAUCCUGUACUUCUGAGGAAAAUAUUUCACAACGAAUACAACACAUCUCAAUUGCCAUUUGCCACACAAACUAAGCAGGGAAAUUUCAGCAUCAGGCAGCACAGAAUCAGCAACAGCAAUGUGACGAAUCGACCAAGAUUUCCACACACAAUGGCACAAUCGUAGAAACGCAAAAUUACAAAAAGAAGGAUGCAAAGGCGUCACCUUUGGAGGGCAGCUCCAGCACGCCGAGUCGGCGGCGAUGCACAACCGCGCUGUGCAACGGCAUCAGACACUCCACGCUCGCCAGCGCCGCCGCUACAACGGGCCUGGGAGUGGCUCCCGAGAAAGAGGCACAUUUUCAGUUAUUCAGAAACGAAGAACUAGUUAAUGUUGAGAAUACACAAAAAGAUUGAGGGGGUUGGGCGCGACCUGCGGAUGCGCGGCGGCGCGAAAGGACACCUCGCCGCCUGGAACGGCCUCACCGUCGGGGAUCUCGACCGGAGAGCCGCUGACCUCACCUCACGUCGGCGGCGGAGCGGCACAAGAACGCCAUGGGCCCAUGGUUUCUCGCGACGGAGAACGACGGUGACGGCAAAAAGUCAGGGUCCAUGGUUUCUUGCAAACAGGCGCAGGGGGUUUCUCGGAGACAGGGCUAACUUUACCUCAAGUCAUGUCGGAUACUUUCUUUGGAUAGUUAGUAUUAAAUAUAAGCUAAUUAUAAAACUAAUUGCACAAUCCCUAGGUUAAAUCACGAGACGAAUCUAUUAAACCUAAUUAGUCCAUGAUUUGACAACGUGAUGCUACCGUAACUAUUCACUAAUGAUGGAUUAAUUAGACUUAAUAGAUUCACCUCUAUUAGUUAGCUCAUAUUUAAUCCUUCUAAUUAGCAUCCGAACAUCCGAUAUAGUAGGGUUAAAAUUUAGCCCUGCUAUUCAAACGAGACCCUAGUAUAUCUCGACCCAACUCUAUCAAGCCCAUGGUCCACGGUGGUCCACUGGGGCAGAGCAUUUUGCAAAGAUUCAUUUUGGACAUUAUUACACUAAAAAAACUCUGAACAAAUAUUUACACCUACAAUUUACAGAUGAAAAAAAACACUUUUCUUGGACUGUGGAGCUUGACCACUAACUUUUUGUGCCGUUUCAUUUUCCACAACACCUUUGCUUCAAUUCCAGUGACUGAGCUAGUCCGAACGAAAUUUGCUAGAUUAAAGUGAAACGGAUUAGGUAAAUGUUGCUUGCACAAGCAGGUGGACACCGGACAAAGAGGCAGCCAGCCAUGCGGACACAGCAGGGGAGCAGCCCAGGCCUUUGCUUUUAUCACAUUGCCCUGAACCUGAAGCUGAAUGCGACAACUCUUUCUCCCUCGCAUUUGUUACUCGCUUCUGGUCUCAACAGUGACAGCAGGGGCAGCUAAGCUAACCACUUCCACUUUUUCAUUCCCACUCACUGCCUCCCUGUGCUAAUCACUAAUCACCAUCCGUCCAUUAUCCACUGCAUUUUUUUUCUGAUGAAAUUGUGUCAAACAAUGUCUGCCUGACAAAUCUUCAGAAACAGCUGGGGCGUUCUUUUGACCGAGAAUUUGAUUUUCAAAGCGUGUUUUUAUCAUUGGUCUCGUGCUCGUGCUGAAGAACGAGGAAUUUUAUUUGGGAUUUGACAAAUCUUGAAAUGGUGACCGAGUGCAAGAGUGCGCGUGUAUGACUGCCUCUGGUCAAUUCUCUGCUAGUGCUUUGUUGGACCUGCUACAAGUCUACCAGCCGGUCAGUGGGGCACCAUUGGCUUCUUUCUUUUGUUUCUUUUUAAUCCGUGUAUGAUUCUCUACAUGAGUUCCAUUAACAUUUGUUUUCAUUGCCUCCUUUUCCUUUGGGUACCCACUGAGGGUACCACGGAUAAAGGACCAAGGUUUUCUUUAUGCAACCCAUUUUUAUUUUAUAAUUUAGUCUAGCUCAGGUUCAAUGGUUUUAGAAGGUUUUUGACCGCCUCUAUCAAACCAUCUAUGUUUGUACUUCAAAAUUAAAAGAAAGAGAGGCAUACAUGCGUUGUUCUUAUGGCAAUGUUUCCUUUUUUUUAAUCCAGCAUGCUUGAUCAACCCUAUGAAUGCAUUUGGGAGAUUGAAUCCGAUAAAUUCUGAGAUUAGCAGAUUUGCCACAAUCCUCGAUGUCACAUGUGCUUUUUGUCUGCCACUGGAAAAUAAACAUAUUAAAGAUUCAAAUCCAAAUAGAUAAGGUCAUGCAAUAUUUCAUUUUGUGGCUAACCAUGACAUAGAAAUCACCUUGACUCUUAGUUUUUAUUACAUGUACAUGGUUCUUAGGUAACCAAUUUUUAUUUUACCUCUACGUGGACAGAAGCAAAACUUUUUAAAAAAAACAUACACUCACAUUUCAGUAUUUUAAGAAGAUUCCAAACGUAAUGAUGAAAUACAAAUCAUUAUCCAGGAGAAUAUGUUUCUGUAACCUAUUAACGAAUAGCAAAAACCAUUGGACACGUUUUUCUAAUGUUAUAGGACAAGAUACCAUCUUUUAUUUGACCAUAAAUCUUGCUGAAUUGGUACUCGGAUAACCUAGAAGAUUGUACAUACAAAAGUAUAAAAAGGAGGAGAUACGAACAAUUAUGCAGGGGGAAUAUGUCUCGUGGCAGCAUCACUGUGGAUCGGAAUUGUUCAGCGCUGGGUGCGCCACAAAAUUUACGGCCGUCUUUCGGAGGCUAUCCAUUUCUCACGAAUUUGGAUUUGGUCCAAAAAGGCCUCGCCGUCGUCUUUAAUUUCCUCGCCCGAUUUGGCUCGUCGCCCACCUACUGUCUCCCUCUGCGCCGGCCCCCAGGAAGAGACCCGAACGCACGCACGGACGAACACCUCGGCUCCUCCUCCGCGAAUUCCACCCAAAUCCCCAUCAGGCUCCCGCACCAAUCCGUCCAAUUCGCAGCCUUUCGCGUCUCCCCCGGGCCAAUCCCUGCGGGAAUUCGUGAUAAAGCCCCGGUUUUUCUCCGCCUUUUGCUUUCUUUCGCUCCCCCCGCCCCCGGCCCCCUUUUCCUUUUUGACUCCGCCGGCCGGUCUGGCCCUUUAUUGCUGUUCCUGAUUGUGUUUUCUCGAAGAAAGGCGCGGUCUUGGGAGGGCGUCGAUCGCGGAUUCGGCUCCGGAGGCGUCGAUUUGAUCCCGAGGUGCGGUUUUCCCCCAAUUUCGUUUCGUGGUAUGUGUGGAAAGAAUUUUCAUUUCAGCUUCUGACGGUGCCUGUCUGCCUGGUAAUUUGAUCAGGUAAUAAAGGGAUUAUGGAUUUGGGGAGACUUGUCUAGCGCGGUUUUGAUCGGGACUUGGUCGGGGGAUCAAUCCGUCAUGAUUAAGCAAAUCCUCGGCCGGCUUCCCAAGAAGCCGGCCAAGUCCGGCGAGAAGGAGUUGGCCGGAGCGGGCACAUCACUGCCCAGCCCGACGGCCGAUGCGAGAACCACAACGGAUUUGACCAUGUCUAGCAGGCUCGUCAAUCCCAACAGCUAUGCCUCCACGGUCACAAAUCCCGGCCAGAAUUACGCGGCCAGGAACGCCGGCGUCAGCAACGGAUUCACGGCCUCGGCCGGGUACGAGGCGCUCCCGAGCUUCCGGGACGUGCCGGCUUCCGAGAAGCCCACCCUGUUCCUCAGGAAGCUGGCCAUGUGCUGCGUGCAGUUUGACUUCACAGACCCGACCAAGGAUGUGAAGGAGAAGGAGAUCAAGAGGCAGACGUUGCUUGAGCUGGUGGAUUAUAUCACCUCAGCCACUGGGAAGUUCCCGGAGCCCGUCGUGCAGGAGGUCAUCAAGAUGGUGUCUGCAAAUUUGUUCAGGGGGCCAACCCCUGCUCCGAGAGAGAACAAGGCACUCGAGUCUUUUGAUUUGGAGGAGGAAGAGCCUGUCAUGGAUCCAGCAUGGCCUCACUUGCAGAUUGUAUAUGAACUGUUCUUGAGAUUUAUUCAGUCUCCUGAGACAGAUGCGAAGCUGGCCAAGAGAUACAUAGAUCACGGUUUCAUUAUCAGGCUUCUUGAUCUCUUUGACUCAGAGGAUCCUAGGGAGAGGGAGUACUUGAAAACAAUACUUCACAGGAUCUAUGGCAAGUUCAUGGUGCACCGCCCAUUCAUCAGGAAGGCAAUCAAUAAUAUAUUCUACAGGUUCAUAUUUGAGACAGAGAAGCAUAAUGGAAUAGCGGAGCUGUUAGAGAUUUUGGGGAGUAUAAUCAAUGGUUUUGCUUUGCCGCUCAAGGAAGAGCACAAAUUGUUUUUAGUCCGAGCAUUGAUUCCACUCCACAAACCAAAAUGUGUUGCCAUGUACCAUCAGCAACUGUCAUACUGUGUCACUCAGUUUGUUGAGAAAGAUUGCAAGCUUGCUGAUACUGUCAUAAGGGGUUUAUUGAAGUAUUGGCCCAUCACGAAUAGCUCAAAGGAGGUUAUGUUUUUGGGUGAGCUAGAGGAGGUACUGGAAGCUACCCAGCCAGCAGAAUUCCAGAGGUGUAUGGUGCCACUUUUUCGUCAGAUUGCCCGCUGUUUAUGCAGUUCUCACUUUCAGGUAAGAAGGGUACCAGAGUGCCAAUUAUACCACAAACAUAGAAUAUUUACUUGUUUUGCUCAUGGAACUUCUCAUAUUCAAAAUCUGGCUCAUUGCUUGGGACAUGACUAUCAUUUAUAAGUGAAAGUCAAAUAGGCUGUAGCAAGCGAUAAGUCAUGCGUGUAAAGUGCAUACUAGUUCUGCACAUGUUGAUACAUAAACAGUCAUAUUGACUCUGAGCCUCUUUCUACCUGCCACUUCCACAUGAUGGAAUGUUAGCAGUACAGAAACUCUGUCUAGUGUCCAUUUCAUUUAUUUCUCAUUAACUCCUUUCCAGAAGCCAAACAUUUUUUCUUUGGAUCAUACUGUAAUUGAACCUAUUUAUUCUUCUAAUUGUUCCUUAUGUAGUUAAGCUGUUAAUUCUAACUGGCCUUUGAAUUUUCCUUUGUACUACAAAUUCUGUACCAUAUUCUCAUGAAUAGUCUCACUGAAAUUAUCCCAAGAAACUAUACUGGUUUAAAGAAGCUUAGGAAAAGAUUUGUCAUGAGAAAUACUGUAGAAAUUUGGGCUUGCUGUAACGAGUCCAGUUUGCUAUACGGAAGCUAACAUCCUUCUGAAGUCAUAAACUCAUAAAUCAUAAUUCACAUUUAUCCCAUUGUGUUGCAUAUAUGUAUGUAAUGCUAUUUGUGUCAAAUAGUUUGCUCUACCAAAUAUCAAAUGAUCGUUUACCAAGGUGCUCCUCAUGUAUACUCUCAACUAGCAUUGCAUCAUUUCCAAAUAUGGUGUUGGAACGCUGAAUUAUAGACAUCCUUAGUUUCAUCUUAUAUCAUCUCCGUGCACCCACUUGGUUUUCCAUUUGUUUGACCUAUUACACUACUUAUUCUUACCGAAGGAGGACUGUUGAAAACCCUGUGGCUGUUAUGGAGCAUGCUAGUUCAUUUAUUCCUAUUAUAUGAUUUUUUUUUACCUGAGUGAGGCAGUUGAAAGUAUUAGUCAUACGGCUUUUCCCUGUUUCAAGAGUUUCCAGAAAGCACCAACUGAUGUUUCUUUGACCACGAUUUUGAGCUUCCUUCUUUUUCUCAAAUAUGCAGGAGAGUUGUGUACCAUUGCAUCAAGAAAAGAAUAAUAGGGUACAAAGGGCCCACACACGCAUGCAAAACACAGACACCUAAGACAUUAAGAACAUGCCACUGAAAGAACAAAGUGCGAAUAAAACAAGAACUAGGACGAAAACAGCCUAGGCAACCCCUUUUAACAGACCUUUGAGCUCCUUAGCUCCAGCUGCACACCAGAGAGUUCCCUCAGAAACUGUCGAGACCACACAAUUUUGAGUUUCCUUAUUAUCUUUGUUAAGCCAUUUUCUUUUCUGCAUCUGCUUGAACUCAUGGAACAUUAAUAUCUAAAUGUUGAGAAUUACCAUCUGUUUCUCAAUCUUUUACUUGAUCAAUUCAUAAUGAGUGUUUUCUGAGAGUCAGUGACAAAACAAGCUGUGUCCUCUAGUAAUUCCAUCAAACUGUUUGCUCUAGAAGCUAACCUUAUAUAACUUCUUUUGUUUUGCAGGUGGCUGAGAGAGCUCUCUUUCUAUGGAACAAUGAUCAUAUCGAAGGUUUGAUCAAACAGAACAGUAAGGUGAUACUGCCCAUAAUCUUUCCUGCGUUAGAACGAAAUACAAAAGGCCAUUGGAACCAGGCAGUUCAAAGCUUGAGUCUAAAUGUUCGUAAAAUAUUCAUGGACCAUGACCCCACACUGUUUGAGGAGUGUCGAAAGAAGUUCGAGGAAGAGGAAGCUCAAGAAGCUAGCGUGAGGUCAAAACGUGAGGCUAUAUGGAAGCGCCUAGAAGAAAUUGCCUUGUCAAAAUCUGCUCAAUGAAGCAGCACAUCUUCCUGAGGCAUAGUUCAUCAGCAGAGUUCCUCUAUCUAGUCUUGCUGACAGCAUAUGAGCAGAUCCUUCUCACUGGAUCAAAUUAGAUGGCUGAUGUGAGUGCUCAUGGAUGGUUGGUUGCCUCGUGUUGCUUGUUACCAAACGUUUUACAGGCUGACAUGUAAAUACGAGGUAGAUGAUGGGCUGCAAAGCUUCAACAGAGCCUCAGGUUCUGUCAGUUGUGUGAUCCACUGGCGAUGAUAUCGGUUUCAUCAUCAGAGGACAAAGGAAAGGAGCUGUUCUGGCUUUCCUAAGAUGCAGGUGACACAGCCUGCAGCUUAGUUUCCUGAUCUGGGGAUGGUUAGGAGCAGAUGAAAGAUCAGCUCUUUCUUGCUGAUGGUAAUUUUGCUGAAAAUGUAAUAUGCUUUAUGUAUGAAUGGUAACUUGAAGGCCAUGCCUUUGUGAUAAUAUGUGACCCGGUGUACAUGUGUUUUGCUUCCAUCAAUGUAUACAGAAAUUUGGAAUGAGCAAUGCUGAUUGCCACCUGUUUUAUCAGAGUUUGGUGUCCUGAGCUGAAUGUUGGCUUCCAUCAUUAUCUAUAGUGUUUGUGUGAACGAAGAUGCAAUAUAGUUGCAGUUCAUACGCUUUAUUACCAUAACUUUUGCCGUCUAGUGUGUUUUUACCAAAAUCCACACUAGAAUAUGCAUGUUUGGAUCUCAAUGGGAUCUCAUAGAGAUUUUUUUUGAUGUUGUACAAUCCUUAAGAGACUGAAACAGUCUCUUUAUAUAGUCACCUCUUGACAUGCGCAGUCGCUACUUUACACCUAUCAGUUUACCGAGCAGGUAAGCCAGCAGGGUCCUGUUGUAGUCGGCCUCAACCAUGGCGAGCAGCGGCGGCGGCGGCGGCUUCAGCUUGGCCACGCGGUCCCUGCACGCCUCGACGUCACGCAGCGCCCUCUUGUACUCGCCGGCGACGUCGGGGCCGCAGUGAUCCGGCAGCCUGCUCCGGACCUUGUCCAUGGCCGCCUCGGCCUCCUGGUACCUGCCGCCGACGCAGGACGCGUACGCCGCCCUCUCUUCCUCGCCGCCGGCGAGCGCCGUCGUGUUCCCGGUGAUGAAGUGCCACGCCCGGCCCAUAGUGUCAAGGUACGCCCAUAUAGCCCGCCACGCGGCGCGUUGAGCGUACUCGCCGGCCUCGUCGACGACCGACCAGGCCAGGGUGUCCUCCUCGCGCAGCGUGUCCACGCAGAGCUGGUACAUUCCCCUUGCCGGCGCCGUCGCGGCGCCGCACACCUCGUGGCAGGCUGCCUCUAUGGUCAUGUUCCUGCGGGCGCCGGGGCAAUUGCCGGCGACGACGGUGAAGCUGAUAGUGAUAGAGAGCGCCACGACAAUCCGGACGAGGAGAGACAUUGCUGGCAUUAGGCUUUCUUUAAAAUGCUUUUGCAUACAACCAUUUGAGAUACAUACAUAUAUACAUAUACGUAUGGUAGACUAGUAGUGGAUUCUUUUAUUGAUGCUCCAUGCAUAAAUGGUCCUGAAAUUAUCCCAGUCAUGUAUGAUGGAUAUCCAAAUGUUGGGUUCUAGACUUCUAGUAUCUUUCUAUAGCUAGUUGUUUAUCUUUUAUAUAAAUUUUAUUGCAAAUUUAUUUCAUUAUGAUUAAAUGAAGAUCUUGUACCAGACCUAGGACAUAUCCAAAAGACACUAAAAAGGCAGUUUUGCUAGAGGGCACACUUUCUUUGAAGUAUUUUGCCAGGCCAGGGGAAUUAAGGGCGACAACUGAAUUGGAUAUCAGAUGAGGUUCAGUCCAAUCUGAAUGUUGCUUAACUGAAUUUGAUAACACAAGAUAUGCAAAUUAUUGUACUGCCAAAUGGAUGCAAAGAGUCCACUCCUUUCUAUAUUGAAAAAAGGUGUGUGAUUACUCAUGGAUGAUAAUCCAUAACCCUGAGAACGCCUCCAAGGUUGCAUCUGGGACAGUUGAAGAUGAGAGAUUGGAGGACACCAAAUCCUGUGCAUAGCUGGAGAUUUGGUUCCCUGCAACACUCACUUUCAGCUUCCAAUUCUUCAGAGAACACAUUUUCUGAAGUAUUUUACCAGGCCAGGGGAAAUAAGGACUACAACUGAAUUGGAUAUCAGAUGAGGUUCAGUCCAAUCUGAAUGUUGCAUAACUGAAUUUGAUAACACAAGAUAUGCAAAUUAUUCUACUGCCAAAUGGGAGAGUUCACUCCUUGCUACAGUGCUAUACUGAAAAUGGUGUGUGUGGUUACUCAUGAAUGAUAACCCAUAACCCUGAGAACGCCCCCAAAGUGCCCUCUGGGACAGUUGAAAAUGAGAGAUUGGAGGGCACCAAAUCUUUGUUCAUAGCUGGAGAUUUGGUUCCCUCCAACAUUCACUUUCAGAAACCAAAUUCUUCAGAGAAGUUUAGUCUAGCUGCAUUACUUGCGCUACAUAUCAUCUGAUCAACUGAACAUGAGAUAUUGGAGGAAACCAAGUCUUGCUUCGCUCUCGCAACAAGAUUUGGUUCCAUCCAAUUCUCAAAUUCAGUUGCCAAAGUUAAAUUCUGAAUUCUGAUGGUCACCACGUCUACUUGAUCUUGCAAUGGCUACUAAUGAAGGUGCUGAAGAUAAGAUGUUGGAGAAAACUGAACUCCUGAUACUGUCACAGAAGGCAAGGAAGAGUUUAGUGUACUACAACUCUUACCAUCAGAGAUACAGAUGUUGGUCUGAAAUGCUUCAAGCUUAUGAGCUGCCCUUUUAUAUACCAGUGCAACCUGAAGCUCCUGUACUGCUGCUACAUUCUGAUACUCUGGCAUGAGUUGUGCAUGUCGAGAAAAGAAGUUCUGCUUUCUAACAAACUAUGACCAGAAAUAUUCUUGGCAGACUUAUUAGAAGGUAAUAGAUUGAUUAUGGGCUAACCCUAGAGGGUAGCUAUAUAGAUGUCUUACAUGGGCCUAUUGGGCCAUAAUACACACAGUACACCAACACUCCCCCGCAGUCUGAACUACCGACGCAGCGGAGUUGCAGACUGGACAUGAAAAGAAAGGCACACACACAAGCCCCCCCACAGACGCAACUAGCCACAGGUGAUGUUGAGGCUGGAGCGAAACUCGGUGAAGGCGGGUGAUGAGAGGCCCUUGGUGAAGAUGUCAGCAAACUGAGAGGUGGUCGGGACGUGGAGGACCCGAACAUCGCCGAUGGCGACCCGAUCCCGGACGAAGUGAAGGUCAAUCUCCACAUGCUUGGUCCGCUGGUGCUGAACAGGGUUGGUGGAGAGGUACACCGCACUGACGUUGUCGCAGUAGACAAGAGUGCUCCGGGAAGAAGGAGUGUGGAGCUCGACAAGGAGCUGCCGAAGCCAGGAUGCCUCAGCCAUGCCGUUAGCGACAGCGCGGUACUCCGCCUCGGCACUGGAGCGGGAGACCACCGGCUGACGCUUGGACGACCAGGACACCAGGUUGCCGCCCAAAAAGACGGCGUAGCCGGAGGUAGAGCACCGAGUGUCCGGACACCCGGCCCAGUCAGCGUCGGUGUAGACAACAAGCUCAGUGGAGGGAGACCGGUGAAGAAGGAGGCCGUAGUCCUCAGUGCCCCGGAGGUAACGGAGUAAGCGCUUCAGAGCAGUGAGAUGGGGCUCUCGGGGAUCAUGCAUGUGAAGGCAAAUCUGCUGAACUGCAUAAGUGAUAUCUAGCCUGGUGAAGGUGAGGUACUGAAGGGCCCCAGCCAGACUCCGGUAUGCAGUAGCAUCUGUCACAGGAGUGCCGGCGGCCUCUGACAACUUGGCCUGAGUAUCAACUGGAGUGGAGCAGGGCUUGCAGUCAGUCAUCCCAGCUCGCUCCAGGAUAUCAAGAGUAUACUGCCGCUGGUGAAGAAAGAGGCCGGCCUGACGAGGCUCAACAGUGACCCCAAGAAAAUGAUGGAGCACACCCAGAUCCUUCAUAGCGAACUCCUGCUGAAGCGAGGUGAUGAUCCGCCGUAGGAGGGACGGACUGGAGGCAGUGAGGACAAUGUCAUCAACAUAGAGCAGUAGAUAAGCAGUCUCAGCUCCAUGGUGAUAAAUGAACAGCGAAGUAUCGGACUUGGCCUCGACAAAGCCCAGCGUCAGGAGGUAGGCAGCAAACCUCGAAUACCAAGCUCGAGGGGCCUGCUUGAGGCCAUAAAGUGACUUGUUGAGCCGGCAGACCAUAUCAGGCCGAGAAGAGUCAACAAACCCCGCUGGCUGGCUGCAGUAAACAGUCUCAGUCAGAGUGCCGUGCAGGAAGGCGUUCUUGACGUCGAGCUGAUGCACGGGCCAGGAGCGGGAGAGAGCCAGUGAGAGAACAGUCCGGACAGUAGCUGGCUUGACCACCGGACUGAACGUCUCGUCGUAGUCGACACCAGGGCGCUGAGUGAAACCCCGGAGAACCCAGCGAGCCUUGUACCGCUCAAGGGUACCAUCAGCCCGCCGCUUGUGAGUCCAGAUCCACUUGCCGGUGACGACGUUGGAGCCAGGCGGACGGGGCACCAGAUCCCAAGUCUGGUUGGCGAGGAGCGCCGCGUACUCCUCUUCCAUCGCGCGGCGCCAGUGAGGAUCCGACAGGGCGCCGCGGACGGAGGAGGGUACAGGAGAAACCUGCGGCGCGCCGGGCAUCGCUGAAAGAGCCCGGGGCUGCAGGGUACCAGCCGCAAGUCGCGUCACCAUAGGGUGAACGUGACGCGGGUGUCGGUGUAGGAGAGGCGGAUGGUACACCGUCGGCGCGACACGGGCAGUCGGGGCCGGUGGAGGUGGUGGUGGUGUAGGCGUCACCGGCGGAGAAGAGUCCACCGGCGAUGACUGAGGCGGCGACGGCGGUGGCGGGGCCGGCUGCAGGUCCAGUGGAGCCGGCCGCGCCCGGCGCUGGUAGACGCGUACGGGCUGCGCAAACCGGACAGCAGGUGCUGCGGGCGGUGCCACCGGUCCCGCGUAGGGCGAAGGGGAAGAAGCAGCACCAGAGGCCGGCACCGUCGGACCCAUGCUAGGCGCAGGGUCAGGGACAGUACCGGUGGACGUCGAGCCCGAGGAGAACCACGGCGGAGCAGUACCUGCAGGACAGAACGGUAGCGGUGGCUGGUCCACCGGGUCAGUGGGAAACAGGGAGGAGAGAUCAGGGUCGGAGGUGGAAGGAGGUGGGGUGGUGGUGGAGUAAGGGAAGACGGACUCGUCAAACACCACGUGGCGAGAGAUGAGGAUCCGCCGAGAAGAGAGGUCAAAGCAACGGUACCCCUUGUGAUCCGGGGAGUACCCGAGGAAGACACACUGAGUCGAACGGGGAGCCAGCUUAUGAGGAGCGGUGGCUGCGGUGUUAGGAUAACACGCACACCCGAAGACCCGAAGGUGAUCGUAACGGGGGGAGGUACCGAAGAGAGCGUGGUGUGGAGUGGGAGCGGGGCAGGCAACAGAAGGUAGGCGGUUAAGGAGAUAGGUGGAGGUGUGAAGACUCUCAGCCCAAAAAGGGGCAGGGAGAGAAGACUGGAACAGAAGAGAGCGCAUGGUGUCGUUCGUGGUACGAAUCAUGCGUUCAGCCUUACCGUUCUGGGAGGAGGUAUAGGGACACGACAUGCGUAGGUGCACGCCGUGAGAGAGGAAGAAGGCACGAGAGGUGGUGUUAUCAAACUCGCGGCCGUUGUCACACUGGACGGCCUUGAUGGUGAGACCGAACUGAGUGGACACCCAAGCGAAGAAGUGGAGAAGUGUGGGAAAAGUAUCAGACUUGGCACGCAAGGGAAAAGUCCAAGAAUAAUGAGAGAAAUCAUCAACCACAAUAAGAUAGUACUUGUAGCCAGAAAUGCUCAGAACAGGAGAUGUCCAUAGAUCGCAAUGUACAAGGUCGAAUACAUGGGUCGCAUGUGAAGAAGAGGUAGGAAAAGGAAGUCGAACAUGACGGCCCAGUUGGCACGCCUGACACAGGUGCUCAUCAUGAGCCCGAGUACAUGGUAUAUCGGUACUACGACUAAGCUGUGUCAGGACAGCACGGCCAGGAUGACCAAGACGCCGGUGCCAUGUAGUGGAAGAAGCUGUGGCGGCAAAAGCGGCUGAAGAAGCGGAGGGCGAAGCGGAAGAAGUGGACGCAGGAAAUCGAAGGGAGUAAAGGGGCCCGGUGCUGUCACAUCGGAGAAGAGGUCGCCGGGUAGCCACAUCCUUCACAGUAAGACCAGAAGAGUCAAAUUCAACAGAACAGGAAUUGUCAGUGGUAAAACGGCGAAUAGAAAGAAGGUUGUGAACCAUGGAGGGAGCAAUAAGAACAUCAGAAACUCGAAAAGAACCGGGAGUGUGAGCAGUACCCACGGAGGUGACAGGAAGACAAGAACCAUUGGCGACCAUGAUGGACGAAGGGUGGGAGGAAGAAGGAGGGUGAACGGAAGAGAGUAUACCAGGGUCGGGUGUAGUAUGGAAGGUGGCACCAGAGUCUGCGAUCCAGUCCUGACCGACUGGAGGAGUCAGGGCCAUGGUGCCGAAGGAGCGUGCCAAGGCAGUCGGGUCCCAUCCGACAGGCCCAGGCGAGGCCCCGGGAGGAGGAGCCCACGGUGAAGCAAACUGAGGAGGAGCCCACGGCGACGCGAACUGAGCAGCUGGGACAGCGCCAGCGAGCAUGGCGGCCGGUGGACGAGGCUCGCCGGUGGCCUGGAAAGGCCACAUAGAGAUGCGCCCUGACCAUGGGUGGGUAAAGGACGGCUAGGGAGAACCCCGUGGAGGCGUCGGUGUGCCCGCCGGUGUGCCCCCACCGCGCCCCCCACCACGUCCCCCACCACGGCGACGGCGGCCGCCCACGGCCCCCCCCCACCCCCGCUCGGCCCAGGAGGGGGAGGACCAAGAAGGGACGACGGUGGCGAAGUGGAGGGUCGUGGCGGUGGAGUCACAGCAAAGCGCGGUCGNNNNNNNNNNNNNNNNNNNNNNNNNNNNNNNNNNNNNNNNNNNNNNNNNNNNNNNNNNNNNNNNNNNNNNNNNNNNNNNNNNNNNNNNNNNNNNNNNNNNNNNNNNNNNNNNNNNNNNNNNNNNNNNNNNNNNNNNNNNNNNNNNNNNNNNNNNNNNNNNNNNNNNNNNNNNNNNNNNNNNNNNNNNNNNNNCCCAGCCAAGGUCCCCGAGGGAGUCCGCCAUGGUCUUCAUCUUCCGGCAGAACUCACCAACGGAGAGGUCGCCCUGGACGAAGGUGCGGAAGCUCGCAUCGAGACGAAGGGCCCGGGCUUCGGCGUUGCCCAGGAACUGACCCUCGAGCGCCAGCCAGGCCCGGCGGGCGGUGGUGUCGGGGGUGCCGCGGACGAGAUCGUGGAGGUCGAGGGAGAUGGUCCCCAGGAUCCACGACAUGACGAUGCUGUCGAGGCGAACCCACGCCGCUGUCCGGGCCGCAGGGAUGGUGUCGGUGAGGACAUGGUCGUCGAGGGCGUAGCGGCGGAGAAUGAGCAGCACCAUGUCCCGCCAUCGGGCAUAGGAAGGCGACUCAGGGUCGAGGACGACGGGGACCAAGCUCUUGAUGUUCUGAACACCCCCGGCCUGGUAGUGGAGCUGCGCGACGAGGGGGUCGGCCGGGUCGGUCCAGGCCGUCACAGGCGGACGGGGAGCACCGGAGCCGGAGGAGGUGGCAGUGCUGUCGUGGGACAUCGGGUGGGCGAGGAAGUGCUCCGCCUCGGCGAUCUGACGAGCCAAGACGUCGGCCGCAUCCCGCUCCCGCUCCCAGGCCAGGGCUGCCGCGCGCAGGCGAGCUUGGCCCUCGGCAGCAGCCGUCCGGGCAGCUACAAGGGCCGCAGCGAGAGUGACCUCCGGAGUGCCGCCGGUGUGUAGGGGCAGAGGUGGUGCGGCGGGGAAGGGGAGGCGAGCAUGCACCCCCCCCCCUGUUGCCCACGGGUAUAUCACCAGGAGGAGCAUGUCCUCCCGGUGGAAAAACCCCCACGCCCUGACCAGGGUGGUGGUGAAGGGCAGCUUCUCCCGGUGGAAGGUCCUGCACCCGGUGGUGGUGAAGAGCGGCGGCGCCCGCGGUGGGGGCGGCGGCGGCGGCAGCGUCCCCGCCCGCACGCCCGCCGACCCCCGCGAACUGGGCCAUUUUGGCUGUUGUUUUUUUCUGUGCAAAUUUCCCGGUCUUUCUGGCCAACACCCACUACGGUGGCGCUCGGACGAGGUGGAGGCUGCAGCGACGCCCACCCANNNNNNNNNNNNNNNNNNNNNNNNNNNNNNNNNNNNNNNNNNNNNNNNNNNNNNNNNNNNNNNNNNNNNNNNNNNNNNNNNNNNNNNNNNNNNNNNNNNNNNNNNNNNNNNNNNNNNNNNNNNNNNNNNNNNNNNNNNNNNNNNNNNNNNNNNNNNNNNNNNNNNNNNNNNNNNNNNNNNNNNNNNNNNNNNNNNNNNNNNNNNNNNNNNNNNNNNNNNNNNNNNNNNNNNNNNNNNNNNNNNNNNNNNNNNNNNNNNNNNNNNNNNNNNNNNNNNNNNNNNNNNNNNNNNNNNNNNNNNNNNNNNNNNNNNNNNNNNNNNNNNNNNNNNNNNNNNNNNNNNNNNNNNNNNNNNNNNNNNNNNNNNNNNNNNNNNNNNNNNNNNNNNNNNNNNNNNNNNNNNNNNNNNNNNNNNNNNNNNNNNNNNNNNNNNNNNNNNNNNNNNNNNNNNNNNNNNNNNNNNNNNNNNNNNNNNNNNNNNNNNNNNNNNNNNNNNNNNNNNNNNNNNNNNNNNNNNNNNNNNNNNNNNNNNNNNNNNNNNNNNNNNNNNNNNNNNNNNNNNNNNNNNNNNNNNNNNNNNNNNNNNNNNNNNNNNNNNNNNNNNNNNNNNNNNNNNNNNNNNNNNNNNNNNNNNNNNNNNNNNNNNNNNNNNNNNNNNNNNNNNNNNNNNNNNNNNNNNNNNNNNNNNNNNNNNNNNNNNNNNNNNNNNNNNNNNNNNNNNNNNNNNNNNNNNNNNNNNNNNNNNNNNNNNNNNNNNNNNNNNNNNNNNNNNNNNNNNNNNNNNNNNNNNNNNNNNNNNNNNNNNNNNNNNNNNNNNNNNNNNNNNNNNNNNNNNNNNNNNNNNNNNNNNNNNNNNNNNNNNNNNNNNNNNNNNNNNNNNNNNNNNNNNNNNNNNNNNNNNNNNNNNNNNNNNNNNNNNNNNNNNNNNNNNNNNNNNNNNNNNNNNNNNNNNNNNNNNNNNNNNNNNNNNNNNNNNNNNNNNNNNNNNNNNNNNNNNNNNNNNNNNNNNNNNNNNNNNNNNNNNNNNNNNNNNNNNNNNNNNNNNNNNNNNNNNNNNNNNNNNNNNNNNNNNNNNNNNNNNNNNNNNNNNNNNNNNNNNNNNNNNNNNNNNNNNNNNNNNNNNNNNNNNNNNNNNNNNNNNNNNNNNNNNNNNNNNNNNNNNNNNNNNNNNNNNNNNNNNNNNNNNNNNNNNNNNNNNNNNNNNNNNNNNNNNNNNNNNNNNNNNNNNNNNNNNNNNNNNNNNNNNNNNNNNNNNNNNNNNNNNCCCCGCGCGGCGAGCCGCAGCGGCGGCGGCGGCGGGAUCCGCGCCGUCCGCCACCCCGGGCGGCGGCGGCGGCGGCAGAAGCCGCCCCGACGGCCGUCAGGGCCGCGGCCGCAGGAGGCCGGCCGGCGGUCGCAACCUGGGCCCACGAUGGAGGAAGAGAAGGGAAGGAGGAGAGGGGAGGGGGAAGGGGGUCGCCGGCCAUGGCGCCGGCCGGCGGCGGCGGCGGCGGCGGUGGCGGCGGCGGCCGGUCACCAGGAAACCCUAAACCCUAACUGAUACCAUAUUAGAAGGUAAUAGAUUGAUUAUGGGUUAACCCUAGAGGGUAGCUAUAUAGAUGUCUUACAUGGGCCUAUUGGGCCAUAAUACACACAGUACACCAACAAGACUUUUCCAUAUCUGUCAUCAAAACUGGCCUAAGAUUUUCAUCAACAUGGUAUAUGCUCCAUUUCUAAAUGGCUUUAGAAUAUCAAACGCGACCAAAUCAUCAUUGGCAGAAUGUAAAUUUUUGACCGAUAUUUCCAAUAACAACAUUUGGUAGGAUAAAUAGACCUGCAUAAAGGAGCAUUAUCCAGUAUGUAAUCAUGUUGUACAUGUGUUUUGCUUCCUUCGAUGUAGACAGAAAUUUGGAAUGAAGCGCUUUGCUGGCUGUCGGUACCGUCAACUACUGAAACUGAGCGCUGAGCUUGCAUUAUGAUCUGCCUAAAACUCCAAGUAAAAAGUUUACGUUUUAUAAUUUUUAUUACCAUAACAUUUACCCACUAAUACGCUCACCUCAAAACACACGCAGUCACUACUUGAUGGUUGAUGUGUAUAGCAAUUUACCUCAGAGCUGGUAUAUGGGCUCCAUCGCCGUCGCCGCGCCGCACGCCUCGCGGCAUGCUGUAUGCAUCCCGUGGGCACCGGGGCAGUCGCCGCUGGCGAUGAUGAUGUAAACUAAGAGAGAGGGACACGGGCUUUCCUCCUUCCUCCACUGCGCCGAGCAUCCCCCGGGUGGCACGCCCCCUGCUGGAUAUCCUCCGUCAUCCGUCACGCCGGGCCGCCCCACGCCGGCGCGUCCCCUCUACGGCCCCACGCCAGCGCGCCCCCGAUCCAUUCCGGCGGCGACGCUUGGAAAGCGGGAGGAGGUGCCCCACCCGUUUCAUCUUGUCGGCGGCGCUUCGACAGCGGGAGGCGGUGCCCCCCGAUCCAUCCCGGCGGCGGAUACUGUACAACGGGAGGGGCGGCGUCCCAAUCUCGAUUCCGAAUCGGCGAUUCAAUUGUGGCCUCGCCGUGCCGCCCCAUUGAAGUUAGGGCCGUCUCUUGGGCAGCUCGCCCCACAACCGCUGCCACCACAGCCCCCGUCUCCGUCGUCCCUUCUCUAGCCCACACCGAGAGAUAAUGAGCGGCAGACCCUGCAGCUGCAUGAUUGAGAGCAGAGGUGCUAGCCGUGGCUUGGAUUGCCCAUGGGGGAGAUGGAUUGGGAGGAGCUGGUGCUGUUGUCGCUCGGAUAGGAGGAUCAGCGGAGGAGAUGGCGUGCUUUGGUUGGAGCUGCAGCUAAAGUCGAUGGAGAGAGAGGUGAUGUCAUGGUGGUGAAUGGUCACGUUGGCGCUUGAGUAUUUUGGAGAUAGAGUUAGCGUGCUGGUGGUGGUGGUAUAGGGCUAGCUGGAUGUCUGAUCUGCUCCUGGUGCUUGUCGGCAGGAAGAAGGGAGAGCUAUUGAUUGCUGCUGCGGUCUUGGUGGAGAGAACAACAGAGAGGAGGAGGUGUGUUCAUGAUUUGAACUGUUGCUUGCCCAUUUGGAGGAAGAAAAAGAAAGAAACUAGCUAUUGGUGAUUGCUUGCUCGGUGGAGGCAGAGGGAGAAGAGAGGCUACAAGGAGUAGGGCUGGUACUGUGUCUUUGCUUGAGAGGAGCUAGCUUGCUGGAGAAGAAGAGGCAAGGAGCAUUUGUAGCACAUUUUUAAGAACAUAUCACAAGUACUAG